Molecule: ribosomal RNA, 253 nt
Filed under: uncultured bacterium
Lineage: Bacteria
Description: partial 16S ribosomal RNA
Rfam family: Bacterial small subunit ribosomal RNA
Source: RNAcentral
UACGUAGGGGGCGAGCGUUGUCCGGAAUCAUUGGGCGUAAAGGGCGCGUAGGCGGGCUGUCAAGUCUGGGGUGAAAUCCCGCGGCUCAACCGUGGAACUGCCUUAGAUACUGACGGCCUCGAGGGAGAUAGGGGCGAGCGGAACUGUGAGUGGAGCGGUGAAAUGCGUUGAUAUUCACAGGAACUCCGGUGGCGAAGGCGGCUCGCUGGAUCUCUUCUGACGCUGAGGCGCGAAAGCUAGGGGAGCAAACGGG